AAGACCUUGCACUUUUGGAGCGGCCGAUGUCUGAUUAGCUAGUUGGUGGGGUAAUGGCCUACCAAAGCUUCGAUCAGUAGCUGGUCUGAGAGGACGGCCAGCCACACUGGGACUGAGACACGGCCCAGACUCCUACGGGAGGCAGCAGUGGGGAAUUUUGGACAAUGGGCGCAAGCCUGAUCCAGCCAUGCCGCGUGAGUGAAGAAGGCCUUCGGGUUGUAAAGCUCUUUCAGCCGGGAAGAAAAGGUUGCGAUUAAUAAUCGCAAUUUAUGACGGUACCGGAAGAAGAAGCACCGGCUAACUACGUGCCAGCAGCCGCGGUAAUACGUAGGGUGCGAGCGUUAAUCGGAAUUACUGGGCGUAAAGGGUGCGCAGGCGGUUUUGUAAGUCAGAUGUGAAAUCCCCGGGCUUAACUUGGGAACU
RNAcentral lists this ribosomal RNA (423 nucleotides) under uncultured bacterium. RNAcentral's name for it is "bacterial SSU rRNA". It matches the Rfam family "Bacterial small subunit ribosomal RNA", at positions 207 to 622 of the family's 1533-position model. The record is from RNAcentral.